UACGUAGGUCCCGAGCGUUGUCAGGAUUUAUUGGGCGUAAAGCGAGCGCAGGUGGUUUAAUAAGUCUGAUGUAAAAGGCCGUGGCUCAACCAUGGUUCGCUUUGGAAACUGGAUAACUUGAGUGCAGAAGGGGAGAGUGGAAUUCCAUGUGUAGCGGUGAAAUGCGUAGAUAUAUGGAGGAACACCGGUGGCGAAAGCGGCUCUCUGGUCUGUAACUGACGCUGAGGCUCGAAAGCGUGGGGAGCAAACAGG
Molecule: ribosomal RNA, 252 nt
Filed under: uncultured microorganism
Description: partial 16S ribosomal RNA
Rfam family: Bacterial small subunit ribosomal RNA
Source: RNAcentral